UAGGGAAUCUUCCACAAUGGACGCAAGUCUGAUGGAGCAACGCCGCGUGAGUGAAGAAGGUUUUCGGAUCGUAAAGCUCUGUUUUUGGUGAAGAAGGAUAGAGGCAGUAACUGUUUUUUAUUUGACGGUAAUCAACCAGAAAGUCACGGCUAACUACGUGCCAGCAGCCGCGGUAAUACGUAGGUGGCAAGCGUUGUCCGGAUUUAUUGGGCGUAAAGCGAGCGCAGGCGGAAUGAUAAGUCUGAUGUGAAAGCCCACGGCUCAACCGUGGAACUGCAUCGGAAACUGUCAUUCUUGAGUGCAGAAGAGGAGAGUGGAAUUCCAUGUGUAGCGGUGGAAUGCGUAGAUAUAUGGAAGAACACCAGUGGCGAAGGCGGCUCUCUGGUCUGCAACUGACGCUGAGGCUCGAAAGCAUGGGUAGCGAACAGG
RNAcentral lists this ribosomal RNA (429 nucleotides) under bacterium. Its description in RNAcentral is "partial 16S ribosomal RNA". It matches the Rfam family "Bacterial small subunit ribosomal RNA", at positions 355 to 776 of the family's 1533-position model. The record is from RNAcentral.